This 25-nucleotide non-coding RNA is filed under the name Mus musculus (house mouse). Lineage: Eukaryota; Metazoa; Chordata; Mammalia; Rodentia; Muridae. The record is from RNAcentral.
UAGGGCAGCUGAUUCUUAGGACGGG